GAUGAAGAACGCAGCGAAAUGCGAUACGUAAUGUGAAUUGCAGAAUUCAGUGAAUCAUCGAAUCUUUGAACGCACAUUGCACUCUCUGGUAUUCCGGAGAGUAUGCUUGUUUGAGUAUCUGUAAACAUCUCAAAUCUCUCUUCGCUUGCGUCGAGAGAAUUGGAUUUGAGCGAUCCCGACUCCUUCGUCAGAAAGAGGAGGGUCGCUUGAAAUGCAGGUGCAGCUGGACAUUCUUCUGAGCUAAAAGCAUAUCUAUUUAGUCCCGUCAAACGGAUUAUUACUUUUGCUUCAGCUAAUAUAAAGGUCGAAUGAACUACCAACGCUGAUUGCAGGAAAACUCGUUUGUAACAGAACUUGUAAACUCGAUCUCAAAUCAAGUAAGACUACCCGCUGAACUUAAGCAUAUCAAUAAGCGGAGGA
Molecule: unclassified non-coding RNA, 420 nt
Filed under: soil metagenome
Description: partial contains 5.8S ribosomal RNA, internal transcribed spacer 2, and large subunit ribosomal RNA
Rfam family: 5.8S ribosomal RNA (bases 1-120)
Source: RNAcentral